GAAACAAGGGGAGGAGGAGGAGGAGGAGAAAUGGAAAGGAGUGAGACAGAACGGUUCAUUUAUUGUGGAGACGCUGUGCAGGUAACACCAAUGAUUGUGUUGAAUGACACGGCUGACGGGAGGGCAUGGAACAUACACCUAGGCCAGAGUUGUUACGACCAGCCAGCGCCAACGAGUGAGAUCGGUGAUCACCGAUCAGUGAUCGGUGACAGGAGCUGUUGGCCAGCCUCGACGUGGUGGUGGUGAUGGUGGUGGUGGUGUGCUGCUGCUGCUGCUGCUGCUGCUGCUGCUGCGUGAAUUGGAGCGUGUCCUGCCGACCAUACCUUCAAUUGCCUGCAGGGCGACGCCGCUGCCGAGAGAACAUGGUACGUGCAGGAAGGCCAAAACUGUGAUAAACCAGCGCCAGCGACAAGGAGACACGGGUUCGGCCAGCGCCAGCUAGAGAUCUUUUACUUUUAGAGGUGUUGGCCUGCUGUUCAGAGCGGCGGAGUGCUGUGACGUGCCGUUGGUGGUUCAGCUGAUGUCCCUGUUGAAGGGAGUGUGGCCGCUAUCUUCACCCUACUCAGGAAAUGGACUGGUGCUGCACUGGGACACAUAGAUGCCAUCUCCUGCCUUGCUUCACCUUCUAGGGAGGGACUCUGCACCUCACCUCAUUGCCCUGCCAGUAGCUCCAUGAUGCUCUGCAGGGAGGAAGCUUGCCAUGCAGGAAGGACAAGAAUUUUGCGUUUUUUUUUUUUUUUUUUUGUGUAAACUGGUUAAGGGCAACAAAAUAAAGGUUUGCUUAAUUGCCAGAUUUCAUGAGAUCAAUAGUUCGGCCAAAAGAUGGGGACAAAUAUAUGAAGAUGGAAAUACAGAAGCAGGCAGGGAGUUCCAGAGUUUACAGUUUCUGCCCACGCCUUGCUGCUUCAUACCUGGAGAGAAGAGACUUAAGCUGUGUACUUGAUCUGAUGUUAUUUCUUGUUUGAAUGUAAUGUAGAGCUGUGGUUCUAGUAUUCGUUAAUAAAUUGAAUUGAUUUA
This 1017-nucleotide long non-coding RNA is filed under the name Portunus trituberculatus (swimming crab). RNAcentral describes it as "uncharacterized LOC123509489, transcript variant X2". Lineage: Eukaryota; Metazoa; Arthropoda; Malacostraca; Decapoda; Portunidae. The record is from RNAcentral.